This 253-nucleotide ribosomal RNA is filed under the name uncultured bacterium. Its description in RNAcentral is "partial 16S ribosomal RNA". It matches the Rfam family "Bacterial small subunit ribosomal RNA", at positions 524 to 776 of the family's 1533-position model. The record is from RNAcentral.
UACGGAGGAUCCAAGCGUUAUCCGGAAUCAUUGGGUUUAAAGGGUCCGCAGGCGGUCAAUUAAGUCAGAGGUGAAAUCCCAUAGCUUAACUAUGGAACUGCCUUUGAUACUGGUUGACUUGAGUCAUAUGGAAGUAGAUAGAAUGUGUAGUGUAGCGGUGAAAUGCAUAGAUAUUACACAGAAUACCGAUUGCGAAGGCAGUCUACUACGAAUGUACUGACGCUGAUGAGCGAAAGCUAGGGGAGCAAACAGG